This 427-nucleotide ribosomal RNA is filed under the name uncultured bacterium. RNAcentral describes it as "partial 16S ribosomal RNA". It matches the Rfam family "Bacterial small subunit ribosomal RNA", at positions 354 to 797 of the family's 1533-position model. The record is from RNAcentral.
GUGAGGAAUUUUCCGCAAUGGGCGAAAGCCUGACGGAGCAAUGCCGCGUGAAGGAUGAAGGCCUAUGGGUUGUAAACUUCUUUUCUCAGAAAAGAAUUAUGACGGUAUCUGAGGAAUAAGCAUCGGCUAACUCUGUGCCAGCAGCCGCGGUAAGACAGAGGAUGCAAGCGUUAUCCGGAAUGAUUGGGCGUAAAGCGUCUGUAGGUUGUUUAAAAAGUAUUCUGUCAAAGAUUAGGGCUUAACCCUAGAUAGGCAGAAUAAACUUUUAAGCUAGAGUUUGGUAGAGGCAGAGGGAAUUCACGGUGGAGCGGUGAAAUGCGUAGAUAUCGGGAGGAAAACCAAAGGCGAAGGCACUCUGCUGGGCCAAUACUAACACUGAGAGACGAAAGCGAGGGGAGCAAAUGGGAUUAGAUACCCGGGUAGUUCC